This 433-nucleotide ribosomal RNA is filed under the name uncultured bacterium. Its description in RNAcentral is "bacterial SSU rRNA". It matches the Rfam family "Bacterial small subunit ribosomal RNA", at positions 958 to 1392 of the family's 1533-position model. The record is from RNAcentral.
AACGCGAAGAACCUUACCAAGUCUUGACAUCCCCCUGACCGUUCCGUAAUGGGAACUUCUCUUCGGAGCAGGGGAGACAGGUGGUGCACGGCUGUCGUCAGCUCGUGUCGUGAGAUGUUGGGUUAAGUCCCGCAACGAGCGCAACCCUUGCCAGUAGUUGCCACAUUCAGUUGGGCACUCUACUGGGACUGCCGGUGACAAACCGGAGGAAGGUGGGGAUGACGUCAAGUCCUCAUGGCCCUUAUGGGUAGGGCUUCACACGUAAUACAAUGGCGCGUACAGAGGGUUGCCAACCCGCGAGGGGGAGCCAAUCCCAGAAAGCGCGUCGUAGUCCGGAUUGCAGUCUGCAACUCGACUGCAUGAAGUCGGAAUCGCUAGUAAUCGCGGAUCAGCGAUGCCGCGGUGAAUACGUUCCCGGGUCUUGUACACACCG